UUUCAGAUCAACUACUAUCUCUCUCACUCAUUGGCUUUCACCGGAACUGGAGGAUUGCGCGAUUUCGUCUUCGGAGUUUGAAUAUCUGUGAAGAAUAAUGAUAAACACACAACUAGUGGAGAUUCAACCUUGUGAACUCGAGUUUACAUUUGAGGUGAAGAAACAAAGUUCAUGUGCAGUUCACAUAUCUAAUAUCACAGACCAAUAUGUAGCUUUCAAGGUCAAGACCACAUCACCUAAGAAAUACUGUGUCCGGCCUAAUAUAGGUGUUAUCAAACCAAAGUCUACAUAUGACUUCACAGUUACAAUGCAAGCUCAGAGGGCAGCUCCAUCUGAUAUGCAAUGCAAGGAUAAAUUUUUGAUUCAGUGCACAGUUGUUCCUUUUGGAACUAAUGAAGAGGAAAUUCCACCCAGCAUGUUCAACAAAGAUAAUGGAAAAUAUAUUGACGAGUGCAAAUUAAAGGUUGUUCUGGUUAGCCCAUCCCAGUCUCUAGUUCUGCAGCCAGCUAAUGGAAUUUCCAAGCAAGGUGCAUCUGUUGAGACUUCGAUGCAACAGGAAAAAUUUCCAAGUGGUGUUGAAAACCUUCCUCCAGCUCAAACUGUGGUUAAGAACAACAAGGAUAUAAAAUUUGAGGA
This 636-nucleotide unclassified non-coding RNA is filed under the name Hevea brasiliensis (rubber tree). Lineage: Eukaryota; Viridiplantae; Streptophyta; Magnoliopsida; Malpighiales; Euphorbiaceae. The record is from RNAcentral.